UGCAAGUCGAACGGCAGCGAGGAGAAGCUUGCUUCUCUGUCGGCGAGUGGCGAACGGGUGAGUAUAGCAUCGGAACGUGCCAAGUAGUGGGGGAUAACCAAACGAAAGUUUGGCUAAUACCGCGUAAGCUCUAAGGAGGAAAGUAGGGGACCUAAAUAAGGCCUUACGCUAUUUGAUCGGCCGAUGUCGGAUUAGCUAGUUGGUGGGGUAAUGGCUCACCAAGGCAAUGAUCCGUAGCGGGUCUGAGAGGACGAUCCGCCACACUGGGACUGAGACACGGCCCAGACUCCUACGGGAGGCAGCAGUGGGGAAUUUUGGACAAUGGGGGAAACCCUGAUCCAGCCAUGCCGCGUGUAUGAAGAAGGCCUUAGGGUUGUAAAGUACUUUUGUUAGGGAAGAAAAGCUAGUUUUUAAUAAAAAUUAGUGAUGACGGUACCUAAAGAAUAAGCACCGGCUAACUACGUGCCAGCAGCCGCGGUAAUACGUAGGGUGCAAGCGUUAAUCGGAAUUAUUGGGCGUAAAGCGAGUGCAGACGGUUACUUAAGCCAGAUGUGAAAUCCCCAAGCUUAACUUGGGACGUGCAUUUGGAACUGGGUGACUAGAGUGUGUCAGAGGGAGGUAGAAUUCCACAUGUAGCGGUGGAAUGCGUAGAGAUGUGGAGGAAUACCGAUGGCGAAGGCAGCCUCCUGGGAUAACACUGACGUUGAGGCUCGAAAGCGUGGGGAGCAAACAGGAUUAGAUACCCUGGUAGUCCACGCCCUAAACGAUGACAAUUAGCUGUUGGGCUUUGAAAGGCUUAGUAGCGAAGCUACGCGAGAAAUUGUCCGCCUGGGGAGUACGGUCGCAAGAUUAAAACUCAA
RNAcentral lists this ribosomal RNA (860 nucleotides) under uncultured beta proteobacterium. Its description in RNAcentral is "bacterial SSU rRNA". It matches the Rfam family "Bacterial small subunit ribosomal RNA", at positions 56 to 904 of the family's 1533-position model. The record is from RNAcentral. Lineage: Bacteria; Pseudomonadati; Pseudomonadota; Betaproteobacteria.